Molecule: ribosomal RNA, 200 nt
Filed under: uncultured bacterium
Lineage: Bacteria
Description: partial 16S ribosomal RNA
Rfam family: Bacterial small subunit ribosomal RNA
Source: RNAcentral
AACGAACGCUGGCGGCGUGUUUAAGACAUGCAAGUCGAACGGGAGAAGUGAGUAGCAAUACGAUCUUCUUUAGUGGCGCACGGGUGAGUAACACGUGAGUAACAUGCCCCUUCAGUGGGGAAUAGCCCAGGGAAACUUGGAUUAAUACCUCAUGGUCUCGCAAGAGUAAAGGCGGCCGCAAGGCUGUCGCUGAAGGAUUG